CCCUUAGAUGUUCUGGGCCGCACGCGCGCUACACUGACGAAGUCAGCGAGCAUGUCCUACGCCGACAGGUGCGGGGAAUCUUGUCAAACUUCGUCGUGAUGGGGAUUGAUUAUUGAAAUUCUUGAUCAUCAACGAGGAAUUCCUAGUAAGCGCAAGUCAGCAGCUUGCGCUGAUUACGUCCCUGCCCUUUGUACACACCGCCCGUCGCUCCUACCGAUGGGUGAUCCGGUGAAUGAUUCGGACUUCAGCGGCUCCCCUGGGGUGCGCCGGAGAAAGUUUUGUGAACCUUAUCACUUGGAGGAAGGAGAAGUCGUAACA
This 318-nucleotide ribosomal RNA is filed under the name uncultured eukaryote. Its description in RNAcentral is "partial 18S ribosomal RNA". It matches the Rfam family "Eukaryotic small subunit ribosomal RNA", at positions 1470 to 1796 of the family's 1831-position model. The record is from RNAcentral.